This 678-nucleotide ribosomal RNA is filed under the name uncultured bacterium. RNAcentral describes it as "bacterial SSU rRNA". It matches the Rfam family "Bacterial small subunit ribosomal RNA", at positions 60 to 733 of the family's 1533-position model. The record is from RNAcentral.
AGUCGAGGGGCAGCGCGGGUAGCAAUACUUGGCGGCGACCGGCAAACGGGUGCGGAACACGUACGCAACCUUCCCAAAACUGGGGAAUAGCCCUCCGAAAGGAGGAUUAAUACCCCGUAACACAAUUAAGAGGCAUCUCUUGAUUGUUAUAGCUCAGGCGGUUUUGGAUGGGCGUGCGGCUGAUUAGGUAGUUGGCGGGGUAACGGCCCACCAAGCCAUCGAUCAGUAACUGGUGUGAGAGCACGACCAGUCACACGGGCACUGAGACACGGGCCCGACUCCUACGGGAGGCAGCAGUAAGGAAUAUUGGUCAAUGGACGCAAGUCUGAACCAGCCAUGCCGCGUGAAGGAUGAAGGCCCUCUGGGUUGUAAACUUCUUUUAUCUGGGACGAAAAAAGGGGAUUCUUCCUCACUUGACGGUACCAGAGGAAUAAGCACCGGCUAACUCCGUGCCAGCAGCCGCGGUAAUACGGAGGGUGCAAGCGUUAUCCGGAUUCACUGGGUUUAAAGGGUGCGUAGGUGGGCAGGUAAGUCAGUGGUGAAAUCUUCGGGCUUAACUCGGAAACUGCCAUUGAUACUAUCUGUCUUGAAUAUCCUGGAGGUGAGCGGAAUAUGUCAUGUAGCGGUGAAAUGCUUAGAUAUGACAUAGAACACCAAUUGCGAAGGCAGCUCACUACG